UGGCAUUGUUCACCUCCUAGUAAAUUAGAGAGAUGAAAACUUAGAGGAAGACCAAAAUUUUAUGAAAAAAAUGAAAUAUUUUGGCAUCUUGUCCAUUGUAUAUGAACAAAGAAAAUCAAAAUAUCAAAUGACAGAGUAAAACAUAUAUUAAUUUACUACUUUGAUUUUCUUGAAAAUUUUGAUUUUAGACAUUAAUAUUUUAAUUUUAUUUAAUAUCAAGGAACUAGUGGACACGAUUAAAAAAAAAGAACAAUGAAUUUAAUUGUUUAUUGAUGUUUAUUUUGUAGGAUAAAUAUUUAAUAGUGUUAGAUAACAUAUCUUUGUUUAGAGUU
RNAcentral lists this long non-coding RNA (332 nucleotides) under Elaeis guineensis (African oil palm). RNAcentral describes it as "long non-coding RNA (EGUI_LNC032765)". The record is from RNAcentral. Lineage: Eukaryota; Viridiplantae; Streptophyta; Magnoliopsida; Arecales; Arecaceae.